Non-coding RNA from Pelobates cultripes (western spadefoot toad), 164 nucleotides. The record is from the annotation of a GenBank genome assembly. NCBI's taxonomy places the organism in Eukaryota, Metazoa, Chordata, Amphibia, Anura, Pelobatidae.
GUCAGCUGACACAUUCCAGCCAAUCAGCAGCAGACCCUCCCUCCCAGAGCCUCCCAACUCCUGGACAGCAUCCAUUUUGAAGCUGCAUUCUUAGUGAGCUGUCCAGGAGGUGGGAGGGUCUGGGAGGGAGGGUCUGCUGCUGAUUGGCUGGAAUGUGUCUGCUG